RNAcentral lists this ribosomal RNA (520 nucleotides) under Mycoplasma haemofelis. Its description in RNAcentral is "bacterial SSU rRNA". It matches the Rfam family "Bacterial small subunit ribosomal RNA", at positions 330 to 870 of the family's 1533-position model. The record is from RNAcentral. Lineage: Bacteria; Bacillati; Mycoplasmatota; Mollicutes; Mycoplasmatales; Mycoplasmataceae.
CCCAUAUUCCUACGGGAAGCAGCAGUAGGGAAUCUUCCACAAUGGACGAAAGUCUGAUGGAGCAAUACCAUGUGAACGAUGAAGGCCUUUUUGGUUGUAAAGUUCUUUUACGAGGGAUAAUUAUGAUAGUACUUCGUGAAUAAGUGACAGCAAACUAUGUGCCAGCAGCUGCGGUAAUACAUAGGUCGCGAGCAUUAUUCGGAUUUAUUGGGCGUAAAGCAAGCGCAGGCGGAUGUGUAAGUUCUGUGUUAAAUGCAGCUACUCAAUAGUUGUAUGCACCGAAUACUACAUGUCUAGAUUGUGGUAGGGAGUUUCGGAAUUAAGCAUGGAGCGGUGGAAUGUGUAGAUAUGCUUAAGAACACCAGAGGCGAAGGCGGAAACUUAGGCCAUAAAUGACGCUUAGGCUUGAAAGUGUGGGGAGCAAAUGGGAUUAGAUACCCCAGUAGUCCACACCGUAAACGAUGGGUAUUAGAUAUUAGGGCUUUAGCUUUAGUGUUGUAGCUUACGCGUUAAAUACCCC